Ornithorhynchus anatinus (platypus) is the source of this 1560-nucleotide long non-coding RNA. RefSeq lists it as uncharacterized. The record is from RefSeq and is a predicted model, not a curated record. Lineage: Eukaryota; Metazoa; Chordata; Mammalia; Monotremata; Ornithorhynchidae. The transcript has 5 exons.
AGGUACACUAAGAUUCUUCUGCGAGAGUAGUGUGGUAGAAUGAGGUGGGUAUAAAUGCUUGGCUAGAAAAGGAGAAACAGUCUAAUUAAUAAGGGAGAGGUCUCAGUGUUGGGCUGAGAUCAGCCACUGUAGGACAUAGCAAUCGUUUUUAUGUUCUUGGAAGUGGGUCUUGGAUUGACUUCAGUGAUAUUUGGAUUUUGAAGAUCUGAGAUCUCCUCCUUGGCUUCAACAGUUAGGGCUCCCUGAUGAAUCGAGAACUAUGAGGAGUUCUGGAAGAAGUGUAGCAGCACAAAUGCUCUGCACACAGGGUCCAUCCAACGCAGUAUUCAGUCUCCGAUAAUGCAACCAGAUGCUUGGAUAAAUAGAGACCACUGAAGGCUGUAGCUGACGUGCCACCUGCAAAGGGGGAAAAAAUGAACUGGUUGAAGAUGGUCUCGCCCCAUCCGAUGUACAUUUGAUUCCUGAAUGAACUGUAGAUUUAGAUGGCCUCAAAUUACCUGCUGAACUUUAUUUUCUAGGACUGCGGUUUCAGUUGCACAGAGAUCGUCUAUCAGCUGGCAUCACAGUCACAGUGUUUUGAUUGUUUAUAGGGUUUUACAAGAUUAGCAGCUAGCUAAGAACUAAAGUUGCAUAUUAAAUUUGAUGUGGAGGUGAAUUCCUUUUCCCCUCAGACCCUAGAUGGUUUAUUCCACUCCUUCACAGCAGGAUGGCAGCAAUGCUACAGGCUGCUUCACAGCUCGGCACUGAUUGCUGAAGACCCAUUAGAGGUUAGAAAUUCUGCUCAAAGGCCCCCAAUCUGCUGCUUAUUUUUGGCUGAAAAUUCCAACUAAAGUUAAUGGUAGUUUUUAACCGAAGACGGGUAGGGAAUUGAGUUCCAAGUAUUAAUUACAUUCCAGUUGCUGCUAUAGCGUUUAUCCAUGUUUGCUCAGCAGAGGAAAUACUGGCUGUUUCAGCAAAAAAAAAGAAUGGUUUGUAUUUUUUCAACCAUUCUAUUCCAUUUAGCUUUAUCUUUGUUCGAACUGUCAUUGCUGGAAAGGACUAUGUAAGCAUUGCUGAAGUUGGAUACAACUUAAUGAUAGUGCUUGCUUAAAUGGCAGUUGGUGAUUUAUAGCUCGAGUAAGAAUAAUCAUCCCAUAUGAAAAAAUAUUCUCUUCAAGGUACUGCAUAAUAGCAAAGUUUGGAUUCAUUUUUUCAACAGUGUACUUGUGUUUCAACAUUUUAAUGCUAGUGGGCAAAAGGCUGAAAAGAUGCCAUCUCAGCCAUUCAAUUGUUGACAGCGAAAAAAAUCAAAUAGUGUUAAUGAAAUGUUUCCAAGUUGGCAUUUUUAAAAGCAUAACCUAAGAAAGGAAACAUAUGUGCUUUUUUGGAAAACUGAACUAAAACACUGAAUGGGCAGAAGGAAUGAUUUAAAAUAAAAAUAGCCGAGAGCAUGUAAUAGGAACCCUCAGGAAAAAAUCAUGUCAACAGAUGGCUGUAAAGUCUAUUUCUCCAUCCGUAUUGCUGAAUGGACAAACAGAUAGGUUGAUGUUAUGAAAUUCCUAAUGGAUGUUAUGGAAUAAA